This 481-nucleotide ribosomal RNA is filed under the name Penicillium sp. Its description in RNAcentral is "partial 18S ribosomal RNA". The stretch from base 181 to 333 matches the Rfam family "5.8S ribosomal RNA". Lineage: Eukaryota; Fungi; Ascomycota; Eurotiomycetes; Eurotiales; Aspergillaceae. The record is from RNAcentral.
AUUACCGAGUGAGGGCCCUCUGGGUCCAACCUCCCACCCGUGUUUAUUUUACCUUGUUGCUUCGGCGGGCCCGCCUUAACUGGCCGCCGGGGGGCUUACGCCCCCGGGCCCGCGCCCGCCGAAGACACCCUCGAACUCUGUCUGAAGAUUGUAGUCUGAGUGAAAAUAUAAAUUAUUUAAAACUUUCAACAACGGAUCUCUUGGUUCCGGCAUCGAUGAAGAACGCAGCGAAAUGCGAUACGUAAUGUGAAUUGCAAAUUCAGUGAAUCAUCGAGUCUUUGAACGCACAUUGCGCCCCCUGGUAUUCCGGGGGGCAUGCCUGUCCGAGCGUCAUUGCUGCCCUCAAGCACGGCUUGUGUGUUGGGCCCCGUCCUCCGAUCCCGGGGGACGGGCCCGAAAGGCAGCGGCGGCACCGCGUCCGGUCCUCGAGCGUAUGGGGCUUUGUCACCCGCUCUGUAGGCCCGGCCGGCGCUUGCCGAUC